Molecule: unclassified non-coding RNA, 209 nt
Filed under: Hevea brasiliensis (rubber tree)
Lineage: Eukaryota; Viridiplantae; Streptophyta; Magnoliopsida; Malpighiales; Euphorbiaceae
Source: RNAcentral
GAUAUCGCUAUUUUAACUGGAGGUUAGCACAAAUGAUAAUCUUUUUUACUCUUCAUUUUUCCCCUUUUCUCCUUUUUUAUUUCCUUACUACUAUUGUAUGUAGUGUUCCAAAAAAUUGAUCUUUUCAUUGCCCUCCACCCCCACCUGUCUCCUUUUCUUACUUCCAUCUUCUUCAACUGAAUCACAGGAACUGUUUUAAGAGAUGAAGU